UGGCGGCGUGCUUAACACAUGCAAGUCGAGCGGAAAGGCCCCUUCGGGGGUACUCGAGCGGCGAACGGGUGAGUAACACGUGAGUAAUCUGCCCUCCACUUCGGGAUAGCCCUCCGAAAGGGGGAUUAAUACCGGAUGGGCACCACGGACCGCAUGGUGUGUGGUGGAAAGUUUUUCGGUGGGGGAUGAGCUCGCGGCCUAUCAGCUUGUUGGUGAGGUGAUGGCUCACCAAGGCUUCGACGGGUAGCCGGCCUGAGAGGGUGACCGGCCACACUGGGACUGAGACACGGCCCAGACUCCUACGGGAGGCAGCAGUGGGGAAUAUUGGACAAUGGGCGGAAGCCUGAUCCAGCAACGCCGCGUGAGGGAUGACGGCCUUCGGGUUGUAAACCUCUUUCAGCACCGACGAAGCGUGAGUGACGGUAGGUGCAGAAGAAGGACCGGCCAACUACGUGCCAGCAGCCGCGGUAAUACGUAGGGUCCGAGCGUUGUCCGGAAUUAUUGGGCGUAAAGAGCUCGUAGGCGGUGUGUCGCGUCGGGAGUGAAAACCCAGGGCUUAACUCUGGGCUGGCUUCCGAUACGGGCACACUAGAGGUAUGCAGGGGAGAACGGAAUUCCUGGUGUAGCGGUGAAAUGCGCAGAUAUCAGGAGGAACACCGGUGGCGAAGGCGGUUCUCUGGGCAUGACCUGACGCUGAGGAGCGAAAGUGUGGGGAGCGAACAGGAUUAGAUACCCUGGUAGUCCACACCGUAAACGUUGGGCGCUAGGUGUGGGAUCCAUUCCACGGGUUCCGUGCCGUAGCUAACGCAUUAAGCGCCCCGCCUGGGGAGUACGGCCGCAAGGCUAAAACUCAAAGGAAUUGACGG
This 866-nucleotide ribosomal RNA is filed under the name uncultured Actinomycetes bacterium. RNAcentral's name for it is "bacterial SSU rRNA". It matches the Rfam family "Bacterial small subunit ribosomal RNA", at positions 37 to 916 of the family's 1533-position model. The record is from RNAcentral. Lineage: Bacteria; Bacillati; Actinomycetota; Actinomycetes.